Molecule: long non-coding RNA, 558 nt
Organism: Erinaceus europaeus (western European hedgehog)
Lineage: Eukaryota; Metazoa; Chordata; Mammalia; Eulipotyphla; Erinaceidae
Exons: 2
Source: RefSeq, a predicted model, not a curated record
CUUCCUUCCUUCCUUCCUUCCGUGGUGCUGGGGAUUGAACCUGGGACCGCAGAGCCUCAGGCAGGGAAGUCGUCUUGCAGAACCCUGAUGCUGUCUCCCCAGCCCUGAAAUUCUUUAUUCUGUGGAGACUCUUUGGGAAGCGAUUCAGUUAAAACGUCAGGCCAGCUCUGGGUGUUGGCUAAUUGUGCACGUGCUAGAACCACACAUUCCAGGGCACAAGGACCCCGGUUCAAGCCCCUGGUCCCCACCCACGGGGGGCUGCAGGCAUCUCUCUCCCUCUUUGUUUUUCUGCCUUUGGCUUCACUCCUGCGUGCAAUGCAGGUGACAGGAGUUAGGAACUUGCAAACACAAAACCCUUGAUAACCGAGUUGCGUCCUGGGAUCAUAAAAACUAGGGUGGUUAUGGGCUGGGGGCACAGAACUGUGGUGAGAGGUACAGUGGCCCACAAAUACUACUUAUGGGUGUGAAAAUAUUCUUGAAAUCUUACAGUUUUGUAUAACAUGGUUAAAUCACGAAUAGAAACACACAAAGAAGUUUGUUGUUGUUGUUGUUGUUGUU